RNAcentral lists this unclassified non-coding RNA (487 nucleotides) under Hevea brasiliensis (rubber tree). Lineage: Eukaryota; Viridiplantae; Streptophyta; Magnoliopsida; Malpighiales; Euphorbiaceae. The record is from RNAcentral.
CUGUGAUGCCAGCUGAUAUCCUUCCUCUGCUACUAUUUAAUUGCAAUUUAUGUUUUAGAAGAACUUAUAUGUGCAUGAAUUCUGUUGGUCUUGGUAGACUUUUCGGUUACUUUGUUUAUUUUUCCCCUGAUUACUUUUUUAUUUUUCAGUUCUUUGGCGCCUUGUUUCUUUUUGGAAAAAUGACAUAUUCAUACUGCUAAGUGCUAAGUGAUGCAUGCUUAUUGUGGUGGGUGAGUGGUUUGAGUACUUCAUUGUCUUAGUGAAAACUAGGGUUGUUUCCUCAUCAUAAUUAAAUUCCAUGUGCAUGAUCUUAAGAGAGACGCAAUUCAAGAAUGUCAUUUAGUUUUGCCUUUGGAGGAGAAUUUCAUAUCUUAGAAAAUCAGGUUGAUUUUAUGGAUUUCCAUAUAUGUUGAUAAACCAAGGUCAUAUCCUGUACUUGGUCUAUCAUCUAUUACACAUAGUUAUGAUUCUGUUUUCAUUUGGUUAG